AAUUAUACCGCGAAACUGCGAAUGGCUCAUUAUAUAAGUUAUCGUUUAUUUGAUAGUACCUUACUACUUGGAUAACCGUGGUAAUUCUAGAGCUAAUACAUGCUAAAAACCCCGACUUCGGAAGGGGUGUAUUUAUUAGAUUAAAAACCAAUGCCCUCUGGGCUCUCUGGUGAAUCAUGAUAACUUCUCGAAUCGCAUGGCCUUGCGCCGGCGAUGGUUCAUUCAAAUUUCUUCCCUAUCAACUUUCGAUGUUUGGGUAUUGGCCAAACAUGGUUGCAACGGGUAACGGAGGGUUAGGGCUCGACCCCGGAGAAGGAGCCUGAGAAACGGCUACUACAUCCAAGGAAGGCAGCAGGCGCGCAAAUUACCCAAUCCCGACACGGGGAGGUAGUGACAAUAAAUACUGAUACAGGGCUCUUUUGGGUCUUGUAAUCGGAAUGAGUACAAUUUAAAUCCCUUAACGAGGAACAAUUGGAGGGCAAGUCUGGUGCCAGCAGCCGCGGUAAUUCCAGCUCCAAUAGCGUAUAUUAAAGUUGUUGUGGUUAAAAAGCUCGUAGUUGAACCUUGGGCCUGGCUGGCCGGUCCGCCUCACCGCGUGUACUGGUCCGGCCGGGCCUUUCCCUCUGUGGAACCCCAUGCCCUUCACUGGGUGUGGCGGGGAAACAGGACUUUUACUUUGAAAAAAUUAGAGUGCUCCAGGCAGGCCUAUGCUCGAAUACAUUAGCAUGGAAUAAUAGAAUAGGACGUGUGGUUCUAUUUUGUUGGUUUCUAGGACCGCCGUAAUGAUUAAUAGGGACAGUCGGGGGCAUCAGUAUUCAAUUGUCAGAGGUGAAAUUCUUGGAUUUAUUGAAGACUAACUACUGCGAAAGCAUUUGCCAAGGAUGUUUUCAUUAAUCAGGAACGAAAGUUAGGGGAUCGAAGACGAUCAGAUACCGUCGUAGUCUUAACCAUAAACUAUGCCGACUAGGGAUCGGACGGUGUUAUUUUUUGACCCGUUCGGCACCUUACGAGAAAUCAAAGUGCUG
This 1025-nucleotide ribosomal RNA is filed under the name Sordariomycetes sp. Its description in RNAcentral is "SSU rRNA". It matches the Rfam family "Eukaryotic small subunit ribosomal RNA", at positions 72 to 1108 of the family's 1831-position model. The record is from RNAcentral. Lineage: Eukaryota; Fungi; Ascomycota; Sordariomycetes.